This 592-nucleotide long non-coding RNA is filed under the name Homo sapiens (human). RNAcentral's name for it is "HSALNT0278061". The record is from RNAcentral. Lineage: Eukaryota; Metazoa; Chordata; Mammalia; Primates; Hominidae.
CUGGAGAACAUCGACUUCAAGAUGGCAGCUGAGGAAGAGAAACGUUUACGACAUGAUGUGAUGGCUCACGUGCACACAUUUGGCCACUGCUGUCCAAAAGCUGCAGGCAUUAUUCACCUUGGUGCUACUUCUUGCUAUGUUGGAGACAAUACUGCCUGCACAGCUGACCACAGUUGGGAAACGUUGCUGUCUUUGGAUUCAGGAUCUUUGCAUGGAUCUCCAGAACUUGAAGCGUGUCCGAGAUGACCUGCGCUUCCGGGGAGUAAAGGGUACCACUGGCACUCAGGCCAGUUUCCUGCAGCUCUUUGAGGGAGAUGACCAUAAGGUAUUCUGAAAGUGACCUGCAGGACACAGAAACUCAAUGGUGGAGCCUAAGAGACAAGGCUGCCUUUGAGGAUGAUAGGAGAGAUUGACUGUGGGAUGGGUGGGGUCUUUCGACUAGAAGGAAGUUGUGGGGGUUAGGGAGCGAGACCUGGGUAGGAUGACAGGUUGAGGCAUUCUCACACUGGACACAUGGAUUAUUAUAAGGAUGUGUCUUUUCUUUCCAAGGUAGAGCAGCUUGACAAGAUGGUGACAGAAAAGGCAGGAUUUA